UGUAAAGUGCCUGAACAAAAGGAUAAUUUUGAUAGAAUUAAUAAUGUAUUAAAUACCUUUACAA
This 64-nucleotide transfer RNA is filed under the name Pseudocolaspis sp. PSE01. RNAcentral's name for it is "tRNA-Ile". Lineage: Eukaryota; Metazoa; Arthropoda; Insecta; Coleoptera; Chrysomelidae. The record is from RNAcentral.